Malania oleifera is the source of this 2202-nucleotide long non-coding RNA. RefSeq lists it as uncharacterized. The transcript is spliced from 2 exons. Lineage: Eukaryota; Viridiplantae; Streptophyta; Magnoliopsida; Santalales; Ximeniaceae. The record is from RefSeq and is a predicted model, not a curated record.
UCCCCUCUCUGUCUCUUCUCCUUUGCUCUCUCAACCUCUGCCUUUCUUUAAUCUCUCAAUUCUCUUCCUUCUCAGCUUCUAUCUCUUCUCCCCACGAACCAGUCUUGGAAACCUUAGGGUUUUUGGUUGAACUCCCUACUGCUCCUUUGGAGCCUCGGCUCACUUGAAGCAAUGCCUCACCCCCUCUUCUUCCUCUCUGCCUCUCUUCUCUUAGUUUCUCGCCUCUCUCACUUGGCUUCUCUUUUUCAUCUCUUCUCUGGAUCUCUCUUCCCAAGUCUAUAGGGUGGACGUGGGUGAUCUAGAACCCCAAGGUUUUAUAUCAAAGUUUCGGUUACUCCCUCCUAAAGCUGAUGCUGAGCCCAGUUCCUGGCCUACUCGUUCCGAGAUGGUCACAAGUGGGAAGAUUUGAAAGCGAAGUUCAUGUGGUGACCUACUUUGUGGACGCGAGCUAAGUGUUCCUCUGACUCCCUUUUCCUUUCUUUUUUUUUUGGUGAGUGAUGUGUGCAAUACUGGUUGAAUGUUGAUUGCUUGAUGCUUGUGAUAUGGGUUUCGAAGUAGUUAUGGUUAAAAUUCAUCUUGCAGGUUAGGGUUAGAUUCUAGGAGUGAGGCCGAAGACGAGUCAACUCGUCUUUGACUUGGUGAGUCGGGUGUGUCAAACCAGCACGUUGUGUGAACUCAGACAUCCACGGGGGAACCACUUGGGCUCUACCACACAUGUCGGUCACGUGUAGGCCUUAGGGGGAUUGGGCCUGGACAUUUUAGAGAGUGAGUUUUGGGCCUGGACGAGUUGGCUUUUGAAAUUGGCCUCAGUUUAGAAACAGGCCGGCCCAAUAAGAUUUUUAAAACAGGGCCUCUCGAGACUUUUAAAAACGGUUUGGCCCAGACUAACUUUUAAAACAGGCCUCCAGGGUUUUUAGAAACGGGUCGGCCCAAUAAGAUUUUUAAAAUAGGGCCUCUUUAGACUUUUAAAAAUGAGCUGUCCUAGAUUAACUUUUAAAACAGGACUCCUGGGUUUUUAGAAAUGGGCUGGCCUAGAUUAACUUUUAAAACAAGCCUCCUGAGUUUUUAGAAAUGGGCUGGCCCAAUAAGAUUUUUAAAAUAGGGCCUCUUCAGACUUUUAAAAACAAGCCUACCCAGAUUAACUCUUAAAAUAGGCCUCUCAGGUUUUUAAAAUUAAAAAGGGUCCGGGUUCGAGGCCCAAACCUGGAUAUGACCCGAGCAAAGGUUAAAGGUGUUCGUGUCACAAUCCUGGUACAAGUUCGGGUAUGGGUCUGUACUUGGGUUCGGAUCAAAGGAUCUGAAUCUCAAGCAAAUUCAAAAUGAGUUUCAGUUCCAAGUUCCAAUCUAAAGCUUAAAGGCAAAUAGCUGCAAUCACAUACGAGCACAAAUUGAAUUGAGUAGAGUUAAGCUUAGCCAGAAGUUACCUCUUCUCUUCCCUCCUCCUUUCUUCUUGUCCUAAGCUCGUAGCUAAUAUGCCUGGGAUAUUUGGGGAGUUUUGGUUAUGCUUCUGAGUCUUUGGAUUCUACAGGUUCUUUUCCCCGACUCUAGAUUUCCCUAGGUGUCUGUCUGGGUGUCUGUUUGUGCCUUCAAACCUCAACAAUUCUUUGUUCUUUACACAGUUCAGUGUAGAACUCUCCUCAACUCUCAGCUGAGUAGAACCUUCCCCCCUCUUUUUUCGAUUCACUCUCUAUGUUGACAGAGCUUCCCCACUCUUACUUGCCUUCUUUUCUCUCUCAAUUUUUGCAGGGUGAGAGUCCAGGUGGCCAUCCAAGAUUUGAAGGCUUUUUGGAUGGUUCGAGCUAGCAGACGUGGAGUGGAGGGCAUUUUGAGUGCCCCCCCAGGUGGCAUCCCAGGAAUGGAUGGCCAGAUAUCUUUGUUAUUUUGAUUUUAUUUUUUAUUCUUACCCUGUGAUUUCUCUCUGUUAACUAACUCGCCUGCUCCUUUCUUUUGCAUGUAGGUGACUCUUGGUUUGGCCAGCUAGCGCUCAAAGAGAGAAGAGCUUUUGGGGGUUCCAGGUGGAGUGUGGGAAUUGGCGGGGGAUGGGAAGAUACUUCCAGAUGGCUGGCAGGGAUAGGCUUAACAUCUUUAUUUUGAUUUUUGUCUUGUAUUUCCUUUCUGAUGUAUGCGUACUGAUGUAUUCUCCCCAUGUUAUCUUUUUGAACAUUCUUUUGUAUUUGCAACAUUUCUUAUCUCAUUUUCCCC